RNAcentral lists this ribosomal RNA (513 nucleotides) under Saccharothrix ecbatanensis. RNAcentral's name for it is "bacterial SSU rRNA". It matches the Rfam family "Bacterial small subunit ribosomal RNA", at positions 380 to 904 of the family's 1533-position model. Lineage: Bacteria; Bacillati; Actinomycetota; Actinomycetes; Pseudonocardiales; Pseudonocardiaceae. The record is from RNAcentral.
AGCCUGAUGCAGCGACGCCGCGUGAGGGAUGACGGCCUUCGGGUUGUAAACCUCUUUCAGCGGGGACGAAGGGCAACUGACGGUACCCGCAGAAGAAGCACCGGCUAACUACGUGCCAGCAGCCGCGGUAAUACGUAGGGUGCGAGCGUUGUCCGGAAUUAUUGGGCGUAAAGAGCUCGUAGGCGGUUUGUUGCGUCGGCUGUGAAAACUUCACGCUUAACGUGGAGCCUGCAGUCGAUACGGGCAGACUUGAGUUCGGCAGGGGAGACUGGAAUUCCUGGUGUAGCGGUGAAAUGCGCAGAUAUCAGGAGGAACACCGGUGGCGAAGGCGGGUCUCUGGGCCGAUACUGACGCUGAGGAGCGAAAGCGUGGGGAGCGAACAGGAUUAGAUACCCUGGUAGUCCACGCCGUAAACGGUGGGUGCUAGGUGUGGGGGACUUCCACGUCCUCCGUGCCGCAGCUAACGCAUUAAGCACCCCGCCUGGGGAGUACGGCCGCAAGGCUAAAACUCAA